GGAUGGAGAGGUUACCUUCUAUAGUUUGAGGGUGAGGUAUGAAUGGAAUGAAAAGGAAGGGCGGAAGGAGAAGGGGUGCCCUUUUCUUUGAAUUCCUCUUACCUUCAUAAUCAUAAGUUUAUUUUUCACUUCCUAAACCUUUUGAUACAGUCUGUAAUCUUAAGUGUAUCUUUAUUCUGGUACUUGACAGAUUUUAUAAUUUUCCUGUCUGGCCUUUAUUUGUCAACUGCACAUCUUUCUUCCACUACCAAGGUUACUCCAGAGAUGGAAGGAUGCAUGCCCAAUAAUCAAUGCAAAAUAUUGCCACUUUCUAAUGGAUAUAAACUUCACCACAUGGCAUUUAUGUUUGUGUCAAUGUUCCACAUGCCCUGCUUAAUUAUCUUAUCCUGACAAGCUACUCAUUUCUCCCCUCUCAAGUUCACCUUAUCUUUAGAUGUUGAACUUCUACUUCUCAGCUUAUUGGCCCCAUUCACUUUUUGGAAGCCAUUGUUAUAACUUCCCAGUUCCCAGACAUGCAUUCAAAUCU
This 526-nucleotide unclassified non-coding RNA is filed under the name Hevea brasiliensis (rubber tree). The record is from RNAcentral. Lineage: Eukaryota; Viridiplantae; Streptophyta; Magnoliopsida; Malpighiales; Euphorbiaceae.